GGGUUGUGAGGUUAAGCGACUAAGCGUACACGGUGGAUGCCCUGGCAGUCAGAGGCGAUGAAGGACGUGCUAAUCUGCGAUAAGCGUCGGUAAGGUGAUAUGAACCGUUAUAACCGGCGAUUUCCGAAUGGGGAAACCCAGUGUGUUUCGACACACUAUCAUUAACUGAAUCCAUAGGUUAAUGAGGCGAACCGGGGGGAACUGAAACAUCUAAGUACCCCGAGGAAAAGAAAUCAACCGAGAUUCCCCCAGUAGCGGCGAGCGAACGGGGAGCAGCCCAGAGCCUGAAUCAGUGUGUGUGUUAGUGGAAGCGUCUGGAAAGGCGCGCGAUACAGGGUGACAGCCCCGUACACAAAAAUGCACAUGCUGUGAGCUCGAUGAGUAGGGCGGGACACGUGGUAUCCUGUCUGAAUAUGGGGGGGACCAUCCUCCAAGGCUAAAUACUCCUGACUGACCGAUAGUGAACCAGUACCGUGAGGGAAAGGCGAAAAGAACCCCGGCGAGGGGAGUGAAAAAGAACCUGAAACCGUGUACGUACAAGCAGUGGGAGCACGCUUAGGCGUGUGACUGCGUACCUUUUGUAUAAUGGGUCAGCGACUUAUAUUCUGUAGCAAGGUUAACCGAAUAGGGAGCCGAAGGGAAACCGAGUCUUAACUGGGCGUUAAGUUGCAGGGUAUAGACCCGAAACCCGGUGAUCUAGCCAUGGGCAGGUUGAAGGUUGGGUAACACUAACUGGAGGACCGAACCGACUAAUGUUGAAAAAUUAGCGGAUGACUUGUGGCUGGGGGUGAAAGGCCAAUCAAACCGGGAGAUAGCUGGUUCUCCCCGAAAGCUAUUUAGGUAGCGCCUCGUGAAUUCAUCUCCGGGGGUAGAGCACUGUUUCGGCAAGGGGGUCAUCCCGACUUACCAACCCGAUGCAAACUGCGAAUACCGGAGAAUGUUAUCACGGGAGACACACGGCGGGUGCUAACGUCCGUCGUGAAGAGGGAAACAACCCAGACCGCCAGCUAAGGUCCCAAAGUCAUGGUUAAGUGGGAAACGAUGUGGGAAGGCCCAGACAGCCAGGAUGUUGGCUUAGAAGCAGCCAUCAUUUAAAGAAAGCGUAAUAGCUCACUGGUCGAGUCGGCCUGCGCGGAAGAUGUAACGGGGCUAAACCAUGCACCGAAGCUGCGGCAGCGACGCUUAUGCGUUGUUGGGUAGGGGAGCGUUCUGUAAGCCUGUGAAGGUGUACUGUGAGGUAUGCUGGAGGUAUCAGAAGUGCGAAUGCUGACAUAAGUAACGAUAAAGCGGGUGAAAAGCCCGCUCGCCGGAAGACCAAGGGUUCCUGUCCAACGUUAAUCGGGGCAGGGUGAGUCGACCCCUAAGGCGAGGCCGAAAGGCGUAGUCGAUGGGAAACAGGUUAAUAUUCCUGUACUUGGUGUUACUGCGAAGGGGGACGGAGAAGGCUAUGUUGGCCGGGCGACGGUUGUCCCGGUUUAAGCGUGUAGGCUGGUUUUCCGGGCAAAUCCGGAAAAUCAAGGCUGAGGCGUGAUGACGAGGCACUACGGUGCUGAAGCAACAAAUGCCCUGCUUCCGGGAAAAGCCUCUAAGCAUCAGGUAACAUCAAAUCGUACCCCAAACCGACACAGGUGGUCAGGUAGAGAAUACCAAGGCGCUUGAGAGAACUCGGGUGAAGGAACUAGGCAAAAUGGUGCCGUAACUUCGGGAGAAGGCACGCUGAUAUGUAGGUGAAGUCCCUCGCGGAUGGAGCUGAAAUCAGUCGAAGAUACCAGCUGGCUGCAACUGUUUAUUAAAAACACAGCACUGUGCAAACACGAAAGUGGACGUAUACGGUGUGACGCCUGCCCGGUGCCGGAAGGUUAAUUGAUGGGGUCAGCGCAAGCGAAGCUCUUGAUCGAAGCCCCGGUAAACGGCGGCCGUAACUAUAACGGUCCUAAGGUAGCGAAAUUCCUUGUCGGGUAAGUUCCGACCUGCACGAAUGGCGUAAUGAUGGCCAGGCUGUCUCCACCCGAGACUCAGUGAAAUUGAACUCGCUGUGAAGAUGCAGUGUACCCGCGGCAAGACGGAAAGACCCCGUGAACCUUUACUAUAGCUUGACACUGAACAUUGAGCCUUGAUGUGUAGGAUAGGUGGGAGGCUUUGAAGUGUGGACGCCAGUCUGCAUGGAGCCGACCUUGAAAUACCACCCUUUAAUGUUUGAUGUUCUAACGUUGACCCGUGAUCCGGGUUGCGGACAGUGUCUGGUGGGUAGUUUGACUGGGGCGGUCUCCUCCUAAAGAGUAACGGAGGAGCACGAAGGUUGGCUAAUCUGGUCGGACAUCAGGAGGUUAGUGCAAUGGCAUAAGCCAGCUUGACUGCGAGCGUGACGGCGCGAGCAGGUGCGAAAGCAGGUCAUAGUGAUCCGGUGGUUCUGAAUGGAAGGGCCAUCGCUCAACGGAUAAAAGGUACUCCGGGGAUAACAGGCUGAUACCGCCCAAGAGUUCAUAUCGACGGCGGUGUUUGGCACCUCGAUGUCGGCUCAUCACAUCCUGGGGCUGAAGUAGGUCCCAAGGGUAUGGCUGUUCGCCAUUUAAAGUGGUACGCGAGCUGGGUUUAGAACGUCGUGAGACAGUUCGGUCCCUAUCUGCCGUGGGCGCUGGAGAACUGAGGGGGGCUGCUCCUAGUACGAGAGGACCGGAGUGGACGCAUCACUGGUGUUCGGGUUGUCAUGCCAAUGGCACUGCCCGGUAGCUAAAUGCGGAAGAGAUAAGUGCUGAAAGCAUCUAAGCACGAAACUUGCCCCGAGAUGAGUUCUCCCUGACCCUUUAAGGGUCCUGAAGGAACGUUGAAGACGACGACGUUGAUAGGCCGGGUGUGUAAGCGCAGCGAUGCGUUGAGCUAACCGGUACUAAUGAACCGUGAGGCUUAACCUUACAACGCCGAAGGUGUUU
Molecule: ribosomal RNA, 2930 nt
Filed under: Escherichia coli
Lineage: Bacteria; Pseudomonadati; Pseudomonadota; Gammaproteobacteria; Enterobacterales; Enterobacteriaceae
Description: 23S ribosomal RNA
Rfam family: Bacterial large subunit ribosomal RNA
Source: RNAcentral